This 839-nucleotide ribosomal RNA is filed under the name uncultured bacterium. RNAcentral describes it as "bacterial SSU rRNA". It matches the Rfam family "Bacterial small subunit ribosomal RNA", at positions 56 to 894 of the family's 1533-position model. The record is from RNAcentral.
UGCAGUCGAGGGAGAAGUUUUGUGCUUGCACUAAACGGAAACCGGCGAACGGGUGCGUAACACGUAUGCAACCUACCUAUAUCUAAGGGAUAGCCCGGAGAAAUUCGGAUUAAUACCUUAUAACAUCAUUCAUUCGCAUGUUUGAAUGAUUAAAGCUCCGGCGGAUAUAGAUGGGCAUGCGGCCCAUUAGUUAGUUGGUGAGGUAAUGGCUCACCAAGACCACGAUGGGUAGGGGGUCUGAGAGGAUGAUCCCCCACACUGGUACUGAGACACGGACCAGACUCCUACGGGAGGCAGCAGUAGGGAAUAUUGGUCAAUGGGCGAAAGUCUGAACCAGCCAUGCCGCGUGCAGGAUGACUGCCCUAUGGGUUGUAAACUGCUUUUAUAUAGGAAGAAACCUUCCCACGUGUGGGAAGCUGACGGUACUAUACGAAUAAGGACCGGCUAACUCCGUGCCAGCAGCCGCGGUAAUACGGAGGGUCCAAGCGUUGUCCGGAUUUAUUGGGUUUAAAGGGUACGCAGGCGGGAUAUUAAGUCAGUGGUGAAAGCCUACAGCUCAACUGUAGAACUGCCAUUGAAACUGAUAUUCUUGAGUAUGGAUGAGGUGGUUGGAAUAUAUCAUGUAGCGGUGAAAUGCUUAGAUAUGAUAUAGAACACCGAUUGCGAAGGCAGAUCACUAAACCAUUACUGACGCUCAUGUACGAAAGCGUGGGGAGCGAACAGGAUUAGAUACCCUGGUAGUCCACGCCGUAAACUAUGUUCACUCGCUGUUGGCGAUAUACUGUCAGCGGCCAAGCGAAAGCAUUAAGUGAANCACCUGGGGAGUACGACCGCANGGU